This 328-nucleotide small nuclear RNA is filed under the name Cuculus canorus (common cuckoo). Its description in RNAcentral is "7SK RNA". It matches the Rfam family "7SK RNA". Rfam says of the family: 7SK was discovered as an abundant small nuclear RNA in the mid-70s but a possible function has only recently been suggested. Lineage: Eukaryota; Metazoa; Chordata; Aves; Cuculiformes; Cuculidae. The record is from Rfam by way of RNAcentral.
GGAUGUGAAGUGGAUCUGGCAGUCACAUCUUUCACCGCAUUGUUUGCCAGGGCCGAUUUGGCUGAUUGGGUUGGGUGGAUGGGCGUCUCCUCCCUCCCUCCCUACUCCAUGUGUAUCCCUCCCAAAGCUGCAUGCUUGGUCAAAGAGAAUGACCUUCCUCAAUAGAGGCAAACUGUUCAUCAGUCCAAGGGUAUGUGGGAGCUGUUCUCCCUCGCCAGAACCUCCAAACAAGCUCAAGGACCCUUUGUAGGAGAACGUAGAGUGGUCAAGAUUCCAAGUGUGCAGACGCAUCCAAGUGAGGCACUGCAUGGGGCAGUCUGCCAUUGUU